This 497-nucleotide ribosomal RNA is filed under the name uncultured bacterium. RNAcentral describes it as "partial 16S ribosomal RNA". It matches the Rfam family "Bacterial small subunit ribosomal RNA", at positions 28 to 507 of the family's 1533-position model. The record is from RNAcentral.
GAUGAACGCUGGCGGCGUGCCUAAUACAUGCAAGUCGAGCGAACAGACGAGGAGCUUGCUCCUCUGACGUUAGCGGCGGACGGGUGAGUAACACGUGGAUAACCUACCUAUAAGACUGGGAUAACUUCGGGAAACCGGAGCUAAUACCGGAUAAUAUAUUGAACCGCAUGGUUCAAUAGUGAAAGACGGUUUUGCUGUCACUUAUAGAUGGAUCCGCGCCGCAUUAGCUAGUUGGUAAGGUAACGGCUUACCAAGGCGACGAUGCGUAGCCGACCUGAGAGGGUGAUCGGCCACACUGGAACUGAGACACGGUCCAGACUCCUACGGGAGGCAGCAGUAGGGAAUCUUCCGCAAUGGGCGAAAGCCUGACGGAGCAACGCCGCAUGAGUGAUGAAGGUCUUCGGAUCGUAAAACUCUGUUAUUAGGGAAGAACAAAUGUGUAAGUAACUAUGCACGUCUUGACGGUACCUAAUCAGAAAGCCACGGCUAACUACGUG